RNAcentral lists this ribosomal RNA (733 nucleotides) under Streptomyces roseochromogenus. RNAcentral describes it as "bacterial SSU rRNA". It matches the Rfam family "Bacterial small subunit ribosomal RNA", at positions 76 to 825 of the family's 1533-position model. The record is from RNAcentral. Lineage: Bacteria; Bacillati; Actinomycetota; Actinomycetes; Kitasatosporales; Streptomycetaceae.
CCCUUCGGGGUGGAUUAGUGGCGAACGGGUGAGUAACACGUGGGCAAUCUGCCCUUCACUCUGGGACAAGCCCUGGAAACGGGGUCUAAUACCGGAUACCACUCCUGCCCGCAUGGGUGGGGGUUGAAAGCUCCGGCGGUGAAGGAUGAGCCCGCGGCCUAUCAGCUUGUUGGUGGGGUAAUGGCCCACCAAGGCGACGACGGGUAGCCGGCCUGAGAGGGCGACCGGCCACACUGGGACUGAGACACGGCCCAGACUCCUACGGGAGGCAGCAGUGGGGAAUAUUGCACAAUGGGCGAAAGCCUGAUGCAGCGACGCCGCGUGAGGGAUGACGGCCUUCGGGUUGUAAACCUCUUUCAGCAGGGAAGAAGCGAAAGUGACGGUACCUGCAGAAGAAGCGCCGGCUAACUACGUGCCAGCAGCCGCGGUAAUACGUAGGGCGCAAGCGUUGUCCGGAAUUAUUGGGCGUAAAGAGCUCGUAGGCGGCUUGUCACGUCGGAUGUGAAAGCCCGAGGCUUAACCUCGGGUCUGCAUUCGAUACGGGCUAGCUAGAGUGUGGUAGGGGAGAUCGGAAUUCCUGGUGUAGCGGUGAAAUGCGCAGAUAUCAGGAGGAACACCGGUGGCGAAGGCGGAUCUCUGGGCCAUUACUGACGCUGAGGAGCGAAAGCGUGGGGAGCGAACAGGAUUAGAUACCCUGGUAGUCCACGCCGUAAACGUUGGGAACUAGGUGUUG